Hyla sarda is the source of this 419-nucleotide long non-coding RNA. RefSeq lists it as uncharacterized. NCBI's taxonomy places the organism in Eukaryota, Metazoa, Chordata, Amphibia, Anura, Hylidae. The record is from RefSeq and is a predicted model, not a curated record. The transcript is spliced from 4 exons.
UCUGACCAGGCGUGUUCAGUGUUCAUUAAAAAUGUUGUGUAUUAAUAUAUUUUAAUAGGUUUUAAAUUGCAAGUGAUGGUUAUUCUCACGAUGGUCUUCGAAGUCCUAGUUGUAACCAUAGCUUUUAUAUUUUAGGUUUACAUGGUAUAAGAAGCUGGAUCGCUUACAGGCUCAUGGAGAAGGUUGCGGAUGGAGAACAUGGGGCAGGAAUGUUUACAGAUUUUGGACCUUUAAAAUAGUGUUCCUCAACUGCCGAGCCGAGAAGUUCGUGAUGAAUCGAAUUUACUGGAUUUGAUCAAAAGUGUCCAGCAUCCACCCAUGUAACUUAAUACAAAUAUAGGCCCUUCCCUGUGCCUAAUGCAUCAAAUUUCCUUGCAUGUAAUACUUUAUGUAAUUUGUCAAAUAAACUUACUUUUUUC